This 184-nucleotide non-coding RNA is filed under the name Gammaproteobacteria bacterium. Its description in RNAcentral is "6S RNA". It matches the Rfam family "6S / SsrS RNA". From Rfam's summary of the family: E. coli 6S RNA was the first non coding RNA to be sequenced, but its function was unknown until recently. It consists of 184 nucleotides that fold into an extended hairpin structure with a large single-stranded internal bulge. The 6S RNA specifically associates with RNA polymerase holoenzyme containing the sigma70 specificity factor. The record is from RNAcentral. Lineage: Bacteria; Pseudomonadati; Pseudomonadota; Gammaproteobacteria. RNAcentral also lists the same sequence under 1 other name.
GCACCUCUGCGGUGUUCGUGAGCGGCCGGGUGUAUAUCCUUGAGCCUAUUUAUAUGCCCAGGGAGCUGAAACGCAGAUGCUGUUGUGCAUACCCGCUGAAGCGGGAAGCCUGAUGCGUCGCUGCAGCGCCCACCUGAACCAUUGGUUCAAGGUCGAAGGCUGCCACGGCAUUCGCGGAGCGUGU